RNAcentral lists this ribosomal RNA (643 nucleotides) under Salmonella enterica subsp. enterica serovar Ituri. Its description in RNAcentral is "partial 23S ribosomal RNA". It matches the Rfam family "Bacterial large subunit ribosomal RNA", at positions 1 to 677 of the family's 2925-position model. The record is from RNAcentral. Lineage: Bacteria; Pseudomonadati; Pseudomonadota; Gammaproteobacteria; Enterobacterales; Enterobacteriaceae.
GGGUUGUGAGGUUAAGCGACUAAGCGUACACGGUGGAUGCCCUGGCAGUCAGAGGCGAUGAAGGACGUGCUAAUCUGCGAUAAGCGUCGGUAAGGUGAUAUGAACCGUUAUAACCGGCGAUUUCCGAAUGGGGAAACCCAGUGUGUUUCGACACACUAUCAUUACGUGAAUACAUAGCGUAAUGAAGCGAACCGGGGGAACUGAAACAUCUAAGUACCCCGAGGAAAAGAAAUCAACCGAGAUUCCCCCAGUAGCGGCGAGCGAACGGGGAGCAGCCCAGAGUCUGAAUCAGCAUGUGUGUUAGUGGAAGCGUCUGGAAAGUCGCACGAUACAGGGUGAAAGUCCCGUACACAAAAGUGCAUGUGUUGUGAACUCGAAGAGUAGGGCGGGACACGUGGUAUCCUGUCUGAAUAUGGGGGGACCAUCCUCCAAGGCUAAAUACUCCUGACUGACCGAUAGUGAACCAGUACCGUGAGGGAAAGGCGAAAAGAACCCCGGCGAGGGGAGUGAAAAAGAACCUGAAACCGUGUACGUACAAGCAGUGGGAGCACCCUUCGGGGUGUGACUGCGUACCUUUUGUAUAAUGGGUCAGCGACUUAUAUUCUGUAGCAAGGUUAACCGAAUAGGGGAGCCGAAGGGAAAC